RNAcentral lists this ribosomal RNA (120 nucleotides) under Petromyzon marinus (sea lamprey). Lineage: Eukaryota; Metazoa; Chordata; Hyperoartia; Petromyzontiformes; Petromyzontidae. The record is from RNAcentral.
ACCUACCACCACAUCACACUAAAUGCACCUCAUCUUAUCAGAUUCUCCGACGCUGAGUGGGUUUAAGCCCGGUUAGUACUUGCAUGGGAGGCUGUCUAGGAAUAGCAGGUGCUGAAAACU